This 421-nucleotide ribosomal RNA is filed under the name uncultured Bacteroidales bacterium. RNAcentral describes it as "bacterial SSU rRNA". It matches the Rfam family "Bacterial small subunit ribosomal RNA", at positions 356 to 774 of the family's 1533-position model. The record is from RNAcentral. Lineage: Bacteria; Pseudomonadati; Bacteroidota; Bacteroidia; Bacteroidales.
GAGGAAUAUUGGUCAAUGGACGAGAGUCUGAACCAGCCAAGUCGCGUGCAGGAAGAAUGUCCUAUGGAUUGUAAACUGCUUUUGCAGGGGAAUAAAGUGCAUCACGUGUGAUGUUUUGUAUGUACUCUGCGAAUAAGGAUCGGCUAACUCCGUGCCAGCAGCCGCGGUAAUACGGAGGAUCCGAGCGUUAUCCGGAUUUAUUGGGUUUAAAGGGUGCGUAGGCGGGAUAAUAAGUCAGUGGUGAAAGUUUGCAGCUUAACUGUAAAAUUGCCGUUGAAACUGUUAUUCUUGAGAGUAGAUAAGGUAGGCGGAAUGUGUUGUGUAGCGGUGAAAUGCAUAGAUAUAACACAGAACCCCGAUUGCGAAGGCAGCUUACCGGGCUACAUCUGACGCUGAUGCACGAAAGCGUGGGGAUCAAACA